RNAcentral lists this ribosomal RNA (498 nucleotides) under uncultured bacterium. RNAcentral describes it as "partial 16S ribosomal RNA". It matches the Rfam family "Bacterial small subunit ribosomal RNA", at positions 28 to 507 of the family's 1533-position model. The record is from RNAcentral.
GACGAACGCUGGCGGCGUGCCUAAUACAUGCAAGUCGAACGAGAGCGACCGGUGCUUGCACUGGUCAAUCUAGUGGCGAACAGGUGAGUAACACGUGGGUAACCUGCCCAUCAGAGGGGGAUAACAUCCGGAAACGGAUGCUAAAACCGCAUAGGUCUUCGAGCCGCAUGGCUUGAAGAGGAAAAGAGGCGCAAGCUUCUGCUGAUGGAUGGACCCGCGGUGCAUUAGCUAGUUGGUGAGGUAACGGCUCACCAAGGCCGUGAUGCAUAGCCGACCUGAGAGGGUGAUCGGCCACAUUGGGACUGAGACACGGCCCAAACUCCUACGGGAGGCAGCAGUAGGGAAUCUUCCGCAAUGGACGCAAGUCUGACGGAGCAACGCCGCGUGAGUGAAGAAGGUUUUCGGAUCGUAAAACUCUGUUGUUAGAGAAGAACAAGUGCUAGAGUAACUGUUAGCGCCUUGACGGUAUCUAACCAGAAAGCCACGGCUAACUACGUG